This 250-nucleotide ribosomal RNA is filed under the name uncultured prokaryote. RNAcentral describes it as "partial 16S rRNA". It matches the Rfam family "Bacterial small subunit ribosomal RNA", at positions 525 to 775 of the family's 1533-position model. The record is from RNAcentral.
ACGUAGGGGGCAAGCGUUAUCCGGAAUUAUUGGGCGUAAAGAGUGCGUAGGUGGUUUUUUAAGCGUGAGGUGAAAGGCAAUAGCUUAACUAUUGUAAGCCUUGCGAACUGGAAGACUUGAGUGCAGGAGAGGAAAGUGGAAUUCCUAGUGUAGCGGGGUUUUGCGUAUAUAUUAGACGCGACGCCAGGGAGGCAGGAGACGUAAUGGGUUUUAACUGCCACUGUGGCGCCUAACCGUCGAGAGCAAACAG